UCCAGCCACCCACCCCGCCCUCCCAGCGGCGCGUGCCCGCCGAGGUAGGUGUCAGAGAGCCGAAUUCGAAUUAUUUGCGACGCCCGGACGGAGUUGCGUAUCUUCGGACGAGAAAAGUGCAAAGGGAGUGCAAAGCUAGCCCUGCUCGAAGCAGCAGGCGCGCCGGUGUCACGGGAGCCGAGGAGCGGUGGCCGUGGCUGUGGAGUCGGUGCUCGAGGCGUCCUCCCAGAAGCCUAAAUGAUAUGAUGCACAUGUUACCCUUCAUUGAAGAUUCUAGUUGGACAAACAACUUGGAUAUCAACAGGGAGCAGAAAACAAACCCACUAGCAGGACCAAAAGGCAGACCCAUCAGCAGAACACAGGCGGCAGCUUCAACAAUUAACUCCAAAAUUGAAAGUCAAAUCCAGGAGAAGACUGAGGAAGCUCCAUUUUCUUUGAGCACUUAAUUGUAAAUUAAGAUUUGCUGAUGAUGAUGGGCUAAUUUAAGCUACCGUGGAAAGAGGAAAGAAAUGGAAGCUGCCGAUCGUAGGAAGCAGUACCUGUACUGCGCAGGUAAAAAUAUAAAUGAAACGAAAGAAGAAAAUCUAACUUCUCAUUCUGGAAGGCAGUGGCUGCCACAGAUCAAGAGGAUAUUGUUUUGCAGCCCCUCUUCUCCAUUAUGUAAGAAACGGCCAUUAUGUAAGACAGACUUGGGAAGGGGGUAUUAUCUCUGCUAGCCAAGCAAAUUAUAGAUUACUCCCCACCUCCACCCCCACCACCAUGAAAUCCCGAAAGAGUUAAUAGGUGAACAGCAGCAGCUUGGAAUGAUUUACUUUUUUCCUAAGGAACAUUAAAUACUGAAUUGCUCAUGCUGAAAUAACGCUACAGCUGUGAUCCGUGGGGCUGAGUUUUGGACACUGGCUCGAGUGACAGGUGUACUCGUUGUUUGCCCAGCUCGGCUGAAAUUGUGAUGCCUAACUCAAAUUUUUUCCCAAUUAACUGGUGAGGAUUCUGGAGCCAGCCAGGAAAGGGCCUUUUGCCACACGCACGGAAGACAUGCGUGCUCAGCCUUCAACAAAAAUGUCAGCCUUAGGGGAGAAUGGAGCCGUUGCUCCCUGAUAAUAAAAAUAAAAAAAUGAUGCCAGGCGCGGUGGCUCACGCCAGCACUUUGGGAGGCCGAGGCAGGCGGAUCACGAGGUCAGGAGAUCGAGACUACGGUGAAACCCCGUCUCUACUAAAAAUACAAAAAAAUUAGCCGGGCGCAGUGGCGGGAGCCUGUAGCCCCAGCUACUCGGGAGGCUGAGGCGGGAGAAUGGCGUGAACCCGGGAGGCGGAGCUUGCAGUGAGCCCAGAUGGCGCCAUUGCACUCCAGCCUGGGUGACAAACCAAGACUCCGUCUCAAAACAAAACAAAAACAAACAAACAGAAAAUGGAGAUGGACCUGCAAUGUCUAGAAAGAUGGGGAAAAGAGACAAUCUAAUUGGGACAAAGCCCUUCUAGGUUCUAAAGCAAACAGGUUUGUCCUACAAUUCAGCUCUUGGAGGAUUUUAGGGAUUGAAGCAAGUCCAGGAUUCUAGGAAAUGUGUCACCAAAAUUGGUAUUAUUAGAGAAAGUGGCACAAAGCUACAAGUGCAGAGUCUGAUCUGCAACAUGCUAAUUACAUCUAUUUUUAUCCCAGGGUUGCAGUGACCUAACACCAAGAAAUAAAAACUCUGGAAAACUAGCCCUUCACAUAUAGAAGUAUGUGAUAAACUGCUGAAAACACAUUUUCAAGGUCUGUGACUGUAACAUGAAAAAUAAAGGAUCAAGGCUGCGCUUUGAAGGUCUGAUCAUAUCUGGGCUCUGCCCUGCCUGCACCCCAGAGGGAAAAUAAGUAAGAUGGAUUUGGAACAGCAUCUGGGGGUCAUAUCAAUACCCUCUUUUGGGCUGAGCUAUUUGCAAAUAAAAAUGAACUGUGUAAGACUGAACUACAAAGGGAGACGUGCCAAGGAGCCAUUGCCCCUUCUCCUGCCUCUCCGUGUUCCCUUCCUCCCCCAUCUGCCUGGCUUUUCACUGCACUGAGAGAUCAGGAAAAAUUCCAGCCAAGAGAGUCUAAAUUGGCUAUGCACACGAGGAAAAAGAGAGAGAGAUUAUCUAGUCUCAGUUUUGGUGACUUGAAAUAAAAGGUUUGGGUUGGGGAGGGUCAGCUUUUUUUUCAAGGAACAGAAUCAUGGAAAUUUUUUCUUUUUCUGUAAAAGCGAAAUGCUUCUCAACCUUAUUUUUUGCUGGCUAGAUUGAGCUGGUUGUAACCUAAGACAAAAUGUGGGCAGGUGCCUUCAGCUUCCUCUAAAUUCUAAGAUGGCUGCAGGCACCAGACUCUGACAGUGAUGUUGCUGAGAGUCUAGCCAUAAAGAUAUCUUUCCACACGGUUCUCCCUCCACGUCUGCCUAGAAGGACUAGCCUGCUGCUUCAUUUCCCCCCUCCUCUGCAGCCGAUUUCAGAUGGCUGCAGCAGAGAAAGUGAGACCCCCACACCUUGUUUGUGUGUACCCUUCCUUCCGCGCCCCUCUGAGUGCAUUUGGGCUGUGUUGGGGUAACAUCGGGACAGGUGGUUGGCUGAGCUGAUCCUCUCAAAUAUUCAGGCAAACUGGUUGUUUAUAGACAAAACAUCCAGAUGCUUUUUCACGAUUGAACUUUUGGCCAAAUUGAUUGGAUGCUUUGGUGUCAAGAAGACAAAAACCCAAGUCAAAAAGGUCCCCAGAACAGGACAUUUGCAGGCACUGAAUAGUAGGAAGAAUUACAUAUUUCUAGCAAUGAAAAAUGUGAGUUUUUUAGAUUGUGCUAAAUGACUCGAUAUUGACCAGAGCAAAGCUACAAGUGAAAGAAUGGAUCUUUUUAAGGUUAUAUUGUUCCCAUUUAUUUGGCUUUGUGCUGCCGGAAAGUGGCUUGGAGGCUUGCUUUUUAGUGCUCUGUAAAAUGUAAAUGGUCUAAAUUAAGAAGCUAUCUAAUCUCAAACAAUAUUAAUUGUGACAUGAAAAAUGAGACCAAUUCUUCCGACAUUACAAUCACCACCACCUCACAUUAACUGAUCACCUCACUAUGUUUCUCAAAAGCCUGAAUAUUUUCCGUUUCCAAAGUGCCUAUUAUUAAGAGGAGACAAAAAUCCUCAAAUACUUUACUUAUUCUGAUGCUGAAAAUGUGGUCUCCUAAAGUGGGCUUCCUUUGGCCUCCAGGCUCUGCAAACCUCUACAUCUGAUUUGUCUCCCUCCCCCCACCCCCCCCCCGCACCCCCCCCCACCACUGCCUCUGAAUUAAAACUCUUCCUAAAAUAAAACCACUAAGCAGCCAGACAGUCAUAAAGCCAGGAUGCUGCUCCUGCAUCUCCCUCCUUCCAGACAGAACUGCCGGACCCUAAUGUUGCUUUCCAGGAGGAAUAGGGGGAAAAUGCGUUUUCACAUAUUUUUUAAGUGUUUUUCCCUAAAUGGGUCCAUUAAAAUCAGCAAGAUCACUGUUCCUCCAUCUCUGUAGCAGGCAGAAUCACCACGCAUGGAGAUAGGAGCAAAUUUGUAUUUCCAGUUGGCUCUGAUGGGGAGAUUGCAGUUGUUCUAGGGAAAGGCGAGCUCUCUAUCCCUGCAGUACUGCCUCACAAUUUCAAGACCACUGCCUCCUCCCAUAAGAUUCUGCAGAUGUUGUACUUUGCUUGUUAAACCUCUUGCUAAAUGUAAGAAAUAAAGUUGUUUUACUUGUAAAUGUCCAUAAUUCACCUACUGCAAAGCCAUAAGUCCUUGCUGUUUCAUUACCAGCUGCCCAUUAAUAACCAUCAAAUUAGAAGUGUCUCUAGCAGCAUGACAAUUUAGUGAGGGGAAUAAGAACAGAAAAUCACAAAUUGUUCAGAGAAGUUGCCGCAUAGCAGGCCUCCUGGGGCCGGGGCCCGAUGCCCCUUGGUGUUUAGUUCAAGGGCAUGGGGCUCUCUUGGGUGACAUCACUUCUAACAUAGAUACUGUGUAAUUCAGUUACACAAAAGCAGCCCAGACAAGCAGGCUCACAUCAUCUCUUGUGCUCUGCGUAAGUCUGCACCAGAGGCUCUCAACACAGCCUGUACUUCCUGUUGCAUGCCAGGAAAGGGCCCUAAAACCAAGGAGGGAGGUGAAAGGAAGCACAAAAUAAUGCACCUUCUUUGUUUUUGUUUUUUUUCCUCCCUCUCUGCUCCCUUCAUCUCUAAGGACUCCACAGCUAACCUGGACUCAUUUUGUUACUUCCCAUUCCCAGGAAGAAAGGCUUUUUCCAACUGUGAGAGUCUAGGAUUCACUUAUAUCUCUUUCUAAACACUACCAGCCCAGAAUUCUCAGGCCACUUUUGGGAGUUGUAGCAACACAAUAGGUGCCUCCUGUGGACACCAUGCCCCCAAACAGAGCAGGGAUUACCGGCAAGGCCGGGAGGUGGGAAGUCAGUGACAGCGCCAUUCUCUCGUUCUUGCUUGAGCUGACUGUAGCCUCUUAACAUCUGGUGCUCCAACUCUUUCCCCAUUCCUAAAACACAGCUGGCUUCUGCCCAUCAGAACAUCAGUCCUGGGCUUCCUGGGCUCUGUCCCUUUAUCCCGCUCUGAAGCCCUUAAGCGUCCAUUUAACCUCACACGUGACUUAGCACCUGACUUUAAAGAAAAACAUCCUUUUCAACAAUAAGGUAUGUGACCACUUGAAACCCCUCCGAGGCUUUCAAAGCCGGUGGAGCAGAGCACAACUAGGAGAACCAGCCCUGGGGUUAAAAUCUCACAGAAGGAAAGGGGGAAGCUGGCACAUAGCAGGUGGUUCCUUUGGGUCAUCCUAUUCACCAUUUGCCCCUGGUGUCUAGUCCUGGGCCCCCACAGAAUGGGCCACUGGUGCACAGGCUCAGGGAAGGGCUUCUCUCCCCCUCUCCAACUGCAUCUGUCAUUUGGCAGUGACAGCUGCUUCGCACUCUGUACCUUGGCAGCUCACAUCUCUUUCAGAGCCCCCUCUUUUCCCCCCACCACAAGCCUCCUCUGUAAAAACCGGAAAAAAAAAAAAUCUUGUUCUUUCAUCAUAAUUAAAGUGCUGUCAGGGAAAAUGGCAUGGCUGAGUUUUGCUGCUGUUGAAAUGACCCUCCUCCUACACUCCUCUUCGCUUCUCUCAUUUGCUAAAGUGGUCCUUUCUCUGCCUGAAAUCAGGCCCUUUGGUGAUGGAAAUUUUAGCUUAAAGCAGAGUUCUAAGCAGAAUCCUAACCUUGCGAGGGUGGGAGAAAAUCAAUGCUUUGAGCUGGUGUCUGUUUGCAGCGAGGUGCUGGUGAGGCCAUUUUCAUCGGGAGGAACGGUGGCGGUGGCUACUUCUGGGCUUUAGAUCCACGCAAGGUCUCCUAAAUACAAGUCACUGUCAUGGUACACAAUUUAGCAAAACUUGGAGGCUGAAUCUCCCCGUUGACUUAGCUAAGGGUCAUGAGGAAGCUAUUUAGAAAUAAGUACAGAGGUUCUGCAUCUGGGAAGAUAAAAUCCAAACGCUUCUCAUGCUCA
This is a long non-coding RNA of Pongo pygmaeus (Bornean orangutan), 5481 nucleotides long. RefSeq lists it as uncharacterized. The transcript is spliced from 4 exons. Lineage: Eukaryota; Metazoa; Chordata; Mammalia; Primates; Hominidae. The record is from RefSeq and is a predicted model, not a curated record.